CUUGUUUUCUAGAUGACUAAGCGGAGGAGGCUCAGAGAGGUGAAGACAGUUGUCCCUGGUCACCCAGCUAGCGAGUGCUGGGCUGGGGUCUGAACCCCUCUCACCACCAACUGGUAAAUUCCCCUUUGUGCCCUGGGGCUUCCGGAUUGGGGGGGGCGGGGAGGGAGGAGAGCGACCAGGUUUCGGGCUUUUUCUGCUUUUCUGUCUCUCUCUCUCACCAGCUACAGGGAAGGCCGGCCCAGAGCAGAGCACCUGCAGGGCUGUCUAGAAGGCAAGGAGCGUGGGAGGGGAAGAGAUCGGGGACAUUCACUCGUGGGCUAACUUCUGUUCCUGUUCCCUGUUGCAGGUACUUGUUCCUCUGCCAUAUCACUUGGGCUUCUGCAUAGUUUUCCUUUGGAGAAAGGGAUAGACAGCUCAAAAAUAAUUGGAAACCAGCGCACCAGACCAAGCGAAGUCCGGGGCUCGUGCCUGGCGGAUCGGCGUGUGAUAAGGUGGGUUUCCGUGCAGGCCGUGGGGAAACACGAAACUCACAAACUUAGAAGAGACUGGAGAGCCUCGGAGCCGCCAGCGCGAGUGGUGGGGGGCGGUGCCUCUUCGCUGAAUUUGAAUUUAAAAUCCUUAGCCCUUAAAAAAAAAAACAAAAAAAAACCGGGCAAGACCCACCGUGCUACCUACCAGAGGCAAAACCCCGGGGAAGGUUUUGCAAGGGGAAGGUUUUGUAAGAUGUGGGCCUGGCCUGGCCUGAGGGGCGUGGCCCGCUAGGAAGGUCAGCUCCUGAUGCCCCGCCAGCGACUCUGACCUCCAGGCCGGUCUGGGAGGUUUUCCCUCAUCCAAGCAAAACACGUCAGACCUGGGCACCUCGGGUCAGCCUCGGGCAGGGGCUGGCAGGGCCACUUAAGAGAGGCAGGAGUUUAAGGAAGUCUCUGAAGUCGCUCAGACAUCUGCAGAGGCUAAAACAGCAAUUUCCUCUUGGUGGCGGGACAUGGUGUUCCCAGAGGAACACGUGGCCCCCAGGUGCUGAUCGGCCGCGGCUGUUGUGUCCCUGACCCGGUUCCUGCGGCUCGGCCUGCUCAGAGCCAGAGAGAACCUGUUUGACAGUCCACACGGGAGGAAGGGCCAGGGCUGGGGUCACUGUGACCAGUAAGACAUGGUCCGUGCCCCUGACGAGCAAAGGACACGCCGGGAACUUCUGUCCCCCUAGCCAGCGGGGUUCUGGAAGUAAUGGCUACAACAGACGCUACAAUUUGUUGAGAACUUACUAUGUGCUAAGUGCUUCAUGUGCAUUCAUUGCCUCAUUGAAUUAUUACCACCCGAUGUCGGAGAAGUCCUAUUGCUCCAUUUAACAGAUAAAAAGACUGAGAUUCAGAGAAGUUAAGUCAAACGGUAAGUGGCAGAGCAGAGAUGUGAACCCAAGUUUAGUGCCUAAGACUUCACCCUUGAUCAUGGUUCAUUAUCCAGACCCAAAGUAUCUGGAGUAGUGGGACCCCACCCCUACCAAGGGCUCCUGCCUUAGUUUCUCUAUACCAUACAUUUUCAGGGAGACAAUGUCCCCCCCACUCAGGGCGCAACAAUUGCUUCCGGGGGGGGUUACAAAAAAAUCUUACUUUUUAAUGUAUAAAGCACUCAUACAAUAUAUAAACAGAUGUAUAGCAUAUCUGUAGUAUUAAAAGUUGAUGCGGGGUGGGGGGGCUCCGAUUAGAAAAAAAGUGCCUGGAACAUAGUAGUUGCUCAGCAAACAGUCGUUCCUUCCUUCACUGCCCACUGGAGCCAGAUGUGAAUCGGUCCCAUUGGGAGCUUUGCAUAUUAGGCCCAGGCUCGGCCCAGUCUCACCCAGGUCCACCCUCGCUCCGUGAGCCCUUGUUGUCCAGGCCCCAGCAGGCUCGACGUCAGAGUCUGCUCCCAUUAGGACCCAGGUUCACCCCCGCCCAACAUCCUUGUUUCCUCCUGGGAGGCCCCAGCUCCCCAGAGUUGGCUGUUGGGACUCGUUACAGGUUAAACAGGUACAGGCUCAGAUCAGCUCCAAUGAAACUGAACACUUCAGGUCCCUGUGGUCAAUUCUCCCAACACAGGGAAAAAGGUAAUUGUCAAUUAACGAGCCCAUCAACUGAGGCGGGAGGAAAAUCAAUAGCACGGACCAAUGCGAGUGUUCUAAUGCCAGUCAGGAUUCCCGGAGCGGGAGCCUUUCAAAUAGGUACACGGAGUAAUUGGCUGCUCCCUUGUGACCCGUCCCGCGGACUCUACAACUCUCCAAUUAACAUGUACCGUUGACAGGCACACAAUUAUUUGGGUUCACUGUGCCCCAGCUAGUGUUUGUUCAAUCAGAACUUGCAAAUACACAGAAAGUGCGCAGAAUAGCAAACGCGGGAUGGCUCUGGGGGAAGCCGGACAGCAAGUGGGUCUUAAAGGAACCCUGGACUUGGGAUUUCUCUUCCAGAGAGCUGCCCCGAGUCUCAGCUCGGAUGUUGGCCCACAGCCCUACUGUGGCCGGCCCCUGACUAGACCUGUCCUCAUCCCACUGACGAACUCAGAGGGGGCUGCCCAGGGCUGGGCAAGCGCUGCCUCCUGCGAUCUACUGGAACCGUCUACCAGGUGACUAUCGUCCUUUGCAAAGAAGGAGCCUUCUGCCUGGAAGGCCAUUUCUCAUCUCUCCCACCCGGAUCAUUGUGACCCAUCCAAAUCAGUCUCCAGAUCCGCGGGGAUUCUUCCUGGAUUUUUCCAGGCAGGGCCCUUUUCCCUGUGCACCUUAGCUUCCUGGGCUUCCUUCUCCCUUAGCACGUAUCCCAUUGGGUUACCCCACUGUUUUAUCUCAGUGUGCCUCCCCAAAGAGUAACUGAGCCCUUUGAUGUCGG
This 2849-nucleotide long non-coding RNA is filed under the name Lynx pardinus (Iberian lynx). The record is from RNAcentral. Lineage: Eukaryota; Metazoa; Chordata; Mammalia; Carnivora; Felidae.